This 200-nucleotide unclassified non-coding RNA is filed under the name uncultured fungus. RNAcentral describes it as "sequence contains ITS1". The record is from RNAcentral. Lineage: Eukaryota; Fungi.
CCAAAUGUCCUAUGACACGCUUUGCGCCCGGUCCAGGCCGGGCCAGAGUUCAAACCUCCUGUGAACAAAACACAAUUCGCUUUGGCAGCGGGCGCGGUUGGGAGCACGCUCCCGCCGGGCCGUGAGUCUGCCAACGGCACCAAUUUGAAAACUUGCUCGUAAACAAAAGUCUGAAACCAUUCUGUUCGAAUGAAAAUCAA